RNAcentral lists this ribosomal RNA (1299 nucleotides) under metagenome. RNAcentral describes it as "bacterial LSU rRNA". It matches the Rfam family "Bacterial large subunit ribosomal RNA", at positions 1635 to 2925 of the family's 2925-position model. The record is from RNAcentral.
UACACGACCGUACCGCAAACCGACACUGGUGCGCGAGAUGAGUAUUCUAAGGCGCUUGAGAGAACUCAGGAGAAGGAACUCGGCAAAUUGACACCGUAACUUCGGAAGAAGGUGUGCCUUUAGUAGGUGAACCUGUACAAGGGGAGCCCAAUGAGGUUGCAAAAAAUCGGUGGCUGCGACUGUUUAAUAAAAACACAGCACUCUGCAAACACGAAAGUGGACGUAUAGGGUGUGACGCCUGCCCGGUGCUGGAAGAUUAAAUGAUGGGGUGCAAGCUCUUGAUUGAAGUCCCAGUAAACGGCGGCCGUAACAAUAACGGUCCUAAGGUAGCGAAAUUCCUUGUCGGGUAAGUUCCGACCUGCACGAAUGGCGUAACGAUGGCCACACUGUCUCCUCCUGAGACUCAGCGAAGUUGAAAUGUUUGUGAUGAUGCAAUCUCCCCGCGGAAAGACGGAAAGACCCCAUGAACCUUUACUGUAGCUUUGUAUUGGACUUUGAACAGAUCUGUGUAGGAUAGGUGGGAGGCUUUGAAGUGUGGUCGCUAGAUCGCAUGGAGCCAACGUUGAAAUACCACCCUGGUGUGUUUGAGGUUCUAACCUAGGCCCGUAAUCCGGGUCGGGGACAGUGCAUGGUAGGCAGUUUGACUGGGGCGGUCUCCUCCCAAAGCGUAACGGAGGAGUUCGAAGGUACGCUAGGUACGGUCGGACAUCGUGCUAAUAGUGCAAUGGCAUAAGCGUGCUUAACUGCGAGACUGACAAGUCGAGCAGAUGCGAAAGCAGGACAUAGUGAUCCGGUGGUUCUGUAUGGAAGGGCCAUCGCUCAACGGAUAAAAGGUACUCUGGGGAUAACAGGCUGAUACCGCCCAAGAGUUCAUAUCGACGGCGGUGUUUGGCACCUCGAUGUCGGCUCAUCUCAUCCUGGGGCUGUAGCCGGUCCCAAGGGUAUGGCUGUUCGCCAUUUAAAGAGGUACGUGAGCUGGGUUUAAAACGUCGUGAGACAGUUUGGUCCCUAUCUUCCGUGGGCGCUGCAGAUUUGAGGAAGCCUGCUCCUAGUACGAGAGGACCGGAGUGGACACACCUCUGGUGUAUCGGUUGUCACGCCAGUGGCAUUGCCGAGUAGCUAUGUGUGGAAGAGAUAACCGCUGAAAGCAUCUAAGCGGGAAACUCGUUUCAAGAUGAGAUCUGCCGGGGCCUUGAGCCCCCUAAAGAGUCGUUCAAGACCAGGACGUUGAUAGGUCGGGUGUGGAAGCGCAGUAAUGCGUUAAGCUAACCGAUACUAAUUGCUCGUGCGGCUUGACCA